Molecule: ribosomal RNA, 253 nt
Filed under: uncultured bacterium
Lineage: Bacteria
Description: partial 16S ribosomal RNA
Rfam family: Bacterial small subunit ribosomal RNA
Source: RNAcentral
UACGGAGGAUGCAAGCGUUAUCCGGAAUGAUUGGGCGUAAAGGGUCCGCAGGUGGCAGUGUAAGUCUGCUGUCAAAGAAUGAGGCUUAACCUCAUCAAGGCAGUGGAAACUACACAGCUAGAGUACGGUCGGGGUAGAAGGAAUUCCUGGUGUAGCGGUGAAAUGCGUAGAGAUCAGGAAGAACACCGGUGGCGAAAGCGUUCUGCUAGACCUGUACUGACACUGAGGCGCGAAAGCUAGGGGAGCAAACGGG